This 443-nucleotide ribosomal RNA is filed under the name uncultured bacterium. RNAcentral describes it as "partial 16S ribosomal RNA". It matches the Rfam family "Bacterial small subunit ribosomal RNA", at positions 338 to 795 of the family's 1533-position model. The record is from RNAcentral.
CCUACGGGAGGCAGCAGUGGGGAAUAUUGGGCAAUGGGCGCAAGCCUGACCCAGCAACGCCGCGUGAAGGAAGAAGUCUUUCGGUUUGUAAACUUCUUUUCUGAGGGACGAAGAAAGUGACGGUACCUCAGGAAUAAGCCACUGCUAACUACGUGCCAGCAGCCGCGGUAAGACGUAGGCGACAGGCGUUAUCCGGAUUUAUUGGGGGUAAAGGGCGUGUAGGCGGGAAAGCAAGUCAGAUGUGAAAACUCAGGGCUCAACCCUGAGACUGCAUUUGAAACUGUUUUUCUUGAGUGCUGGAGAGGCAAUCGGAAUUCCGUGUGUAGCGGUGAAAUGCGUAGAUAUACGGAGGAACACCAGUGGCGAAGGCGGAUUGCUGGACAGUAACUGACGCUGAGGCGCGAAAGCGUGGGGAGCAAACAGGAUUAGAUACCCGAGUAGUC